CCUACGGGAGACAGCAGUGAGGAAUAUUGGUCAAUGGGCGGAAGCCUGAACCAGCCAAGUCGCGUGAGGGAUUAAGGCCCUACGGGUCGUAAACCUCUUUUGCCGGGGAGCAACACCCUCCACGUGUCCCGGCCUGCAGGUAACCCGGGAAAAAGGCCCCGCUAAUUCCGUGCCCACAGCCGCGGUAAUACGGAAGGCGGGAGCGUUAGCCGGAUUUUUUGGGUUUAAAGGGGGCGUAGGCGGGCUUUUAAGGCAGCGGUAAAAAUUCGGGGCUCAACCCCGCCCGGCCGUUGAAACUGGGGGCCUUGAGUGGGCGAGAGGAAGGCGGAAUGCGUGGUGUAGCGGUGAAAUGCAUAGAUAUCACGCAGAACCCCGAUUGCGAAGGCAGCCUUCCGGCGCCCUACUGACGCUGAGGCACGAAGGUGCGGGGAUCGAACAGGAUUAGAUACCCCAGUAGUC
Molecule: ribosomal RNA, 459 nt
Filed under: uncultured bacterium
Lineage: Bacteria
Description: partial 16S ribosomal RNA
Rfam family: Bacterial small subunit ribosomal RNA
Source: RNAcentral